CCUACGGGAGGCAGCAGUGAGGAAUAUUGGUCAAUGGGCGGAAGCCUGAACCAGCCAAGUAGCGUGCAGGAUGACGGCCCUACGGGUUGUAAACUGCUUUUAUACGGGAAUAACGCGCCUUACGUGUAGGGCUUUGCAUGUACCGUAUGAAUAAGGACCGGCUAAUUCCGUGCCAGCAGCCGCGGUAAUACGUAGGAUGCGAGCGUUAUCCGGAUUUAUUGGGUUUAAAGGGUGCGUAGGCGGUCUGUUAAGUCAGCGGUAAAAUUGCGGGGCUCAACCCCGUCGAGCCGUUGAAACUGGCAGACUUGAGUGGGCGAGAGGCACGCGGAAUGCGGGGUGUAGCGGUGAAAUGCAUAGAUAUCGCGCAGAACCCCGAUUGCGAAGGCAGCGUACCGGCGCCAGACUGACGCUGAGGCACGAAAGCGUGGGGAUCGAACAGGAUUAGAUACCCCAGUAGUC
This 459-nucleotide ribosomal RNA is filed under the name uncultured bacterium. Its description in RNAcentral is "partial 16S ribosomal RNA". It matches the Rfam family "Bacterial small subunit ribosomal RNA", at positions 338 to 795 of the family's 1533-position model. The record is from RNAcentral.